AACGAACGCUGGCGGCGUGCUUAACACAUGCAAGUCGAACGCGAACGGGUUCUUCGGGACCUUAGUAGAGUGGCGCACGGGUGAGUAACGCGUAAGUUAUCUACCUCGGCAUCUGGAAUAACUCACCGAAAGGUGUGCUAAUACCGGAUACGUUGAGUAAUCAAGAAAGGUGGCCUCUCUUUGAUGCUACCGUGCUGAGAUGAGCUUGCGUACCAUUAGCUAGUUGGUGGGGUAAUGGCCUACCAAGGCGACGAUGGUUAGCGGGUCUGAGAGGAUGAUCCGCCACACUGGAACUGGAACCCGGACCAGACUCCUACGGGAGGCAGCAGGGAGGAAUAUUGCGCAAUGGGGGCAACCCUGACGCAGCGACGCCGCGUGGAUGAUGAAGGCCUUCGGGUCGUAAAAUCCUGUCAGGUGGAAAGAAAUGUAUAUGUGCUAAUACCAUGUAUACUUGACGGUACCACCGAAGGAAGCACCGGCUAACUCCGUGCCAGCAGCCGCCGCGG
RNAcentral lists this ribosomal RNA (506 nucleotides) under uncultured bacterium. RNAcentral describes it as "partial 16S ribosomal RNA". It matches the Rfam family "Bacterial small subunit ribosomal RNA", at positions 29 to 523 of the family's 1533-position model. The record is from RNAcentral.